This 397-nucleotide ribosomal RNA is filed under the name uncultured bacterium. Its description in RNAcentral is "bacterial SSU rRNA". It matches the Rfam family "Bacterial small subunit ribosomal RNA", at positions 29 to 416 of the family's 1533-position model. The record is from RNAcentral.
AGCGAACGCUGGCGGUAUGCUUAACACAUGCAAGUCGAGCGCGAAAGUGACUUCGGUCAUAAGUAGAGCGGCGGACGGGUGAGUAACACGUGGAUAAUCUGCCUUUAGGACUGGGAUAACCCUGGGAAACUAGGGCUAAUACCGGAUAAGACCACAGGUUCCAUGGAACCAGGGGUAAAAGGCGGCCUUCGGGCUGUCGCCGAAAGAUGAGUCCGCGUCCCAUCAGGUAGUUGGUGAGGUAACGGCUCACCAAGCCGAAGACGGGUAGCCGACCUUAGCGGGUGAUCGGCCACACGGGGACUGAGACACGGCCCCGACUCCUACGGGAGGCAGCAGUGGGGAAUCUUGGGCAAUGGGCGCAAGCCUGACCCAGCAAUACCGCGUGAGGAUGAAGGCC